Oreochromis niloticus (Nile tilapia) is the source of this 5714-nucleotide long non-coding RNA. RefSeq lists it as uncharacterized. The record is from RefSeq and is a predicted model, not a curated record. NCBI's taxonomy places the organism in Eukaryota, Metazoa, Chordata, Actinopteri, Cichliformes, Cichlidae. The transcript has 3 exons.
GAUAUAAACCAUCACCAUCUGAGCAUAAAAACAGACAGAUCUUCUCCGAACAGCUCAAUUCAGAAUGGUUUCAUUCAUCAGGGUUACGCCCCUUCAUGCGUCACAAAUGAACAUGAUAUGCAUCAGUUACAGUAAAUGGUCAAUCUUAAACCCCUAAAAUUAGACAGAGAGGUUCCUCUUUCUGUCACACCUUCCAUACAAGGCAAUAAGUUUCAAGCCUACAUGGUCCCUGAGGCGGAUGCUCUUCUUUAACUAAUCUCCUGUCAUCUGUAACCAAGUAGACUAAAAUGCAGUUAGAAGCUAAAUGAGUUUCAGGCCUUUGGCCUGGCAGGUUUAUGGGUUCUAUGUGUUUGUAAGCGUGUAUGUGGUUUGUCCUUCUAUGCUCCAAGUCACUUACACAACAGAUUGUCUGGACAUCGCGCCAAACAAAGCUUAAAACCUUCAAUAGACUGGGCAUCAACUCCUUCAUGAGCACAAUCGCAAUGUGUAUAAAAAUCAUUUCUACGUAUAUAAUCUUCAAUGUUAUUCAUUUGGGUAAGCAACACUUUUAACACCCUCUUAAGAAGCUCUCUCCUUCUGUCAUCUGAUCAUCUCAAGCACGUCCUGUACAAAACUUACUUCCUCUUUUCAAGCCCACAUACAAGCUCUACCACCUUUGCCCUAUAUGGCUGUCUCGACAUGUUUCCUAUCAACUUAUUCAUUGCAUGUCUAUCUUUACAACUUCUGCAUCACCAGUUCCUACACAAAGACAAAGCAAACUGUGUUUCACCUCUACCCUAGAAAUAAAUCUAUGUAAUAUCUGUAUGUGUAAGCCUGCAUUAUAACCACUUAUUCUAGAAAUCAGAAAGAAAUAAAACCUUUUCUAUUCCUAAAAUCUUCACUAGUUUUUCCCCAAAGCAUAUCUUUUAUUCAAAGUGUCCCGCAGUUUCCCUUUAAGUUUGGUAUACAGCUUCUUCUGAACACCGGCAUUUUAUCUUCUACACAGGAUUCAGUUCAUUUUAAUCCUUUAACUUAAACAUGAAAAUAACUAUUUCUGCCUCAGUUUUACCAUAUCUCAAUUAUCAAAAACCCCAAAAGUCAUAAAAUGAUCCUAAAACCCAUUUCAAAUUAAACCUUAAAUCCCCCCUUUUUGACACAUCUUAUGUGUCAAACUCACAAUGCUUCACCCGAGCUUAGGAAAUUAAAAAAAAAAGGUUAGUCAUAUCAUUUAUGUAAACCUUCAGUCUCCCCUCUGUUCUCUCUCCACCUCCUGCUCCGGCCAAAAGCAAAGCAUACCCUUUCUCUUCCUGGCAUGGUAAAUUGUUUGUCCACAUUUAUUCAUCCUAACCUUGGUCCAGUCACACACAUUCACUCACACACAUUCACACCAGAUAUUGCUGAUAGUGGAGAGCCCCGCGCAAAUAAUCAGAUUCUCCACCCCGUUAUUUUGGUACUUUACACGUCACACAGUCUCAAACAUUGCUUAUAUGGAAAGUUCCUCUUUUCUGUGUCUUAUCUAUUAAUAUGCCUGUGCACUAAAACUUCCUGUUUUUCAGUCUGGCUGAGCACUUAGUUUGUGAGUCAAAGGUGGCCUUGCUCUACAAGCCUUCAUUAUUAAAGUACAUAAAACAAUAUAAUAGGAAAAUAAGGAUACUAAGGAUAUUGAUUUCAUGACAGCAGCUAAAUUGGAAAGUUUGAAAAUUCAACUGGUUAAUGGAAUUUUUCAAACUAAUGGCUCCAGAUGUGCAAAUGUGUGAAAGCUUGUUAUCUGCUGCACUACAGAUAAACAUAGCUUUUAAACACGUUUUAAUUUUGAUGUGUUUUUGUGGUCGUGCGCUCAAUCAAUGUGUGUGUUUGUGCUUCAUGCAGCAGAAACACAUCAAAGAUUGUCAGGCUUUGCUCGCUGCUCCUUCAGGCUUCACUAUCAAAGAUAUAAUUAAGCUAAAGAACACCUACAAGCACUUUAUUAUCUCCACAUUUUCUUUUAUCUGGGCUGCUGCCUGGAUUCCUGCAGUUUGUUGUCGAGGAUGAAGAGCAGCGAGUCGGCUAGUGUUCAGCUAUAAUCCUGAAGUUUGGGAUAAUCCAGGUCCUCCGGGGCCGAGGGGAGGGAGGCAGGGAGGAGACCCAGAUUACUCUAUGGUGACAAAACUCCACAGAAGUCAGGAGAUGUUUUGGCUCAUUUGAGUGUCUGUGACAUUAUGAUGAAGAGAACAACAGGAGAGACUGAAACAGACCUCUGAAGAUCUGCUGAUCUGUUCUUAUGCCGGAAAUAUUCCUUUUAUGUCUUUCCUUAUUUUCCAUCAUGUACUGUUUCAGUUUGUGUGAGCCAACAGUUUAGGCUUCAGGCUGCUGUAAAUACUUUACUCUUGGUCUCCAUAUGACCAUCUCCGGUGCACAGCUGCACCCCUGCAAACAUGACUUAAGGACAGUGUGGCGUUAAAGGGGCAGGAAGUAAAACUGCAAAUGAGAUGAUGGUAAAAGAUCAGUGGGGAUUAAUUUGAAAUGUAAAUCAUGUAGCUACUCUCUUAGUGUCCAGGAAAAACAAAUAAGCCGAUACAGUUAUUGUGCAUUAAAGUGAUCAGCACGACCAACAAAGGUAAAUGCAGGAAAGAGGUGCUGUGUUUUGGUGCAGAACUCGGACAGUUCAUAUUCAUCACACGGCUAGCUGCUUGCCCGUGCAGCACUGUUAGUAAAUGGACUGGUUCUUAUAUUCACCCCUUCACACCCAUAGCAGCACUUGUUUCUGUGCUUCACUGCUAUCUAUGUAACAUUCACACACACUCACACUGCGAUGGAUGCAUUGGAGAGUAACUUGGGCUUAGUAUCUUGCGCAAGCAGACUAGAGCAGUCCGUGGUUGAACCAGCACUCUCAGAAAAAAUUAUGGUUCUUAAAUGGUUCUUCAGAUGUCUUCAUGGUAAUUUAAAGAACCAUCAUACGUCAAAGAACCUUUUUAUUUUUGUAGAUGGUUCUUUAGGUAUUGCAAAUGGUUGUUUAAAGAACAAAAGGUUCUUCAUCCUUAGCUAUCUAAGUUUGAUGGUGUAAAAUGGCAUAAAUAUUUAUUCACUAUAAUGAGGCUGUGAAUUAUACUGUGUGUUUUGUUUGUGUGCAUGUGUGUGCGAAGGGGGAGGGCGGGUUACCUGGCAAUUACCCUUUAAGAGCAGAUGGUAGGAAACUGAAUAUUCAAAUAAAAGAUAGAAAUACUUGCUUAAAAAUAUACUGGUGGCAGGGGUGGGGGCCAAAGCCUAAAGACCCUACCCCCAACACCCCUAACCCCGCAAACCCACUGAUCACAAAUAAUGUGAUAAUAGAAUAUGGAAUUUAUUAUUAAGACGUUUAUGAUUAUGGUGAGUUAACAAACAGUAGACACAAUGCACACAUUCAAAUACUGUACUUCAGUUUAAAAUUUUAAUAAAGUAUUACUAUUUUCUGCUUCAAGGCAUUACUUUUGAGAUUAUUAUAUAUAUUAGAAAAUAUAGCAUAAUGAUAAUACUAGUUAUUGUAAACUUUACAAACCACCCAGCAGUAUGUAAAGUCAAAUUAUAAAAUACAAGUAAAUAACAAUUGCACAACAGAAUGUCAAUGUGUUCAUUACCGACACACUUAUUUAGUUUUGACAAAGCGCACUGCUUAGGUAAAUGAUCUGAGUACUUGUUUAUCACUGAGCAAUUUGUUAAUAUGUGUUUCGAGCCAAAUAAAUGACAGAGCGAGAGAGUGACGUUAGAACACGUUGUACUAUGGCAACCUCCCGAAAGAGAGAGGGGGGGGGUCAAUCGUUGGGUUGCGCAUGCGCAGACAGAUUGCGCGACCGGCGGGCCUUGAACUUUUUAAGGGAAAAACACUUUCUCACGGCCGGUGACAGCGAAGCGGAUAACAGUCUUCAGUACCUGCUGGUCUUUGAAGCUCUGGAUUCUGGGACUGUUGGAAAAGGUAAAACAUUUUCAUUAAAACCUUUUUACUGUUUUGUUUUUGUUACUCGUCAUUGUAGCUAACUGUUAAUGCUGUGCUAACAAUAACGGUUAGCUAUGUUAGAUACGUUAGCCGUUGAUGUUAACGCAAUUUAGUAUCCGGUAUACAGAAACUGUUUUCCUAACAAAACCACUGUUAUAAUUAAGUGAAGGUGCUCCCAACUAAUUUGAACCUUUGGCUUCUAAAAUAUGUGGUUCUAUUGCGUGCGGCGUACAUAACGUAAUGUCAGCUAGACUGAUUAAAAUUUAUAAUAUUGUUAAUGUCACUAAAAUGGCACCUGAAGCCUGUUGUGAUGUGAGCUCUGUGUCUGCUCUAGAAACUCUGAAAUUCAGUAGAUCUGAGCCGUACAUUAAAUACUCACAUCAGCCUGUACUUUGCAUUCUGUAAGAGCUGUAUAAAACACAGCAAUGCAUAAGUGUUUUGAAUGAAUAGAAAUGUGACACAUUAGAAGAUGUGUCUGUGACUGUUCCUGUGUAACUUAUUUUCAGACUAGUUGACAAGUUAUGCUCCGGUCAUUUGAUGUUACCAAGAUAAUGUCCUUUUGUAAUAUAGUUAAAUUUUCUUUGUACAUUUCAUUUAUCCACCAUCGUACAUUAAGCCAAGAAGAGGUCAUUAUACUAACAAGAGGUAUCAACACUGGGCCAAAGUUCAGCACGUGGUUAAAGUUUGUAAUCCAGCCAGGCUGUGAAUAUCGCUCAGCAGCCAGUCAUAGAGCUGAAGCAGGUAACAUCAACACAUAAAUCUACUCUACCUGGCUUAAAUCACAAGACCACCUCUGACCGAAAAGCUGUAGAUUUUUCUUGUUUGCACAAAUUAAUUCAGAUUCACACUAACUCUUUUCACAGCUCCAACAAAAUGAGGAAGAGGAGGGAGAAAAACAAUUAGAUUGAAUUACAAUUGGAUGGAAGUCGAGGACAAGGAGGAGGAAGCUUAGGAUGAGGAGGAAGAAAAGCAGCAGGAGCAUCUUUAGGGAUCUCUAUGACGUCAUUGAGAGGCGGCGGCGAGAGGGGAGACCUCGGCUCAUCCAGCUGGACAGCCUGACCAGGAGGAGUCGAACAUUAACUCGGCUCUUCCAGGGCACCCUGCAGACUCGGCUGCUGGCAACACUGGGAUGACGUGAACGCCAAACAGGAGUCCAUCACAGGUCGACUGCAGCUCCUUGUCUCAGAGUGGGAGGGAUUUGAAGCACAAAGGGAGGAGCUUGUCAUUUGGUUGGCUGAUAUGGAUGUCCGCCUGAGUGAGGUUGACCAGCUGACAGGAAACACCUGUGAAAAACUGAAACAACUGCAGGUGUGGGGUUGUUUUUGAUAUGACAUAUAUUUGAUAUGAUACAUACGUGAGAGACAUUAUCCUAAACUGGACUAACAAAGAACCAGGAGUCCAACAUGAAACUUGCCUUACAUAACGCUGAAGUUCAUUGAUCAUUUUAAUCAUAAACUUGUUGUUGAAAUAUUUUUACUGAACAUGCAAACAUCUGCUGAUGAAAAUGUGUUGAUUUAUUGGUCUGUUAUGAAGCUAUUGCUAUUUCUAAUGUGUUUUUAUCACUUUCUGAUGUUUUAUUAAUUAAACAAUACAUGUAUUAAUUUUUGUUUUAUCUAUAGAUAUAGUAUUUAUAUAUAUUUGUUUAUAGUAUAGUAAAAAUGUUUAAUUAUUACUGUUUAAAUGACUAAUAUGUGACAUGUAUUAGUAGUGAUGUUGUGCUGAGGGUUAAAAUGCCUUUUUGUCUUUUGGUAUACUACGAAAUGGCAAUAAACCAUUAAUAUAUGUC